UGAGGAAUAUUGGUCAAUGGACGAGAGUCUGAACCAGCCAAGUAGCGUGAAGGAUGACUGCCCUAUGGGUUGUAAACUUCUUUUAUACGGGAAUAAAGUGCAGUAUGUAUACUGUUUUGUAUGUACCGUAUGAAUAAGGAUCGGCUAACUCCGUGCCAGCAGCCGCGGUAAUACGGAGGAUCCGAGCGUUAUCCGGAUUUAUUGGGUUUAAAGGGAGCGUAGGCGGAUGCUUAAGUCAGUUGUGAAAGUUUGCGGCUCAACCGUAAAAUUGCAGUUGAUACUGGGUGUCUUGAGUACAGUAGAGGUAGGCGGAAUUCGUGGUGUAGCGGUGAAAUGCUUAGAUAUCACGCAGAACCCCGACUGCUGAGGCAAGGCCUGCCAAGCCAAGUGCACUGACGCUGAUGCACGAAAGCGUGGGGAUCAAACAGGAUUAGAUACC
Molecule: ribosomal RNA, 439 nt
Filed under: uncultured bacterium
Lineage: Bacteria
Description: bacterial SSU rRNA
Rfam family: Bacterial small subunit ribosomal RNA
Source: RNAcentral